RNAcentral lists this transfer RNA (72 nucleotides) under Nematostella vectensis (starlet sea anemone). It matches the Rfam family "tRNA". From Rfam's summary of the family: Transfer RNA (tRNA) molecules are approximately 80 nucleotides in length. Lineage: Eukaryota; Metazoa; Cnidaria; Anthozoa; Actiniaria; Edwardsiidae. The record is from Rfam by way of RNAcentral.
GACUCCGUGGCGCAAUGGUAGAGCGUCUGACUCCAGAUCAGAAGGUUGCGUGUUCAAACCACGUCGGGGUCA